UGGGGGAAUAUUGCACAAUGGGCGCAAGCCUGAUGCAGCCAUGCCGCGUGUGUGAAGAAGGCCUUCGGGUUGUAAAGCACUUUCAGCGAGGAGGAGGGUGGUGAACUUAAUACGUUCAUCAAUUGACGUUACUCGCAGAAGAAGCACCGGCUAACUCCGUGCCAGCAGCCGCGGUAAUACGGAGGGUGCAAGCGUUAAUCGGAAUUACUGGGCGUAAAGCGCACGCAGGCGGUUUGUUAAGUCAGAUGUGAAAUCCCCGGGCUCAACCUGGGAACUGCAUUUGAAACUGGCAAGCUAGAGUCUCGUAGAGGGGGGUAGAAUUCCAGGUGUAGCGGUGAAAUGCGUAGAGAUCUGGAGGAAUACCGGUGGCGAAGGCGGCCCCCUGGACGAAGACUGACGCUCAGGUGCGAAA
RNAcentral lists this ribosomal RNA (412 nucleotides) under uncultured bacterium. RNAcentral describes it as "partial 16S ribosomal RNA". It matches the Rfam family "Bacterial small subunit ribosomal RNA", at positions 354 to 758 of the family's 1533-position model. The record is from RNAcentral.